RNAcentral lists this unclassified non-coding RNA (4969 nucleotides) under Rhagoletis pomonella (apple maggot). Its description in RNAcentral is "uncharacterized LOC118744377, transcript variant X4". The record is from RNAcentral. Lineage: Eukaryota; Metazoa; Arthropoda; Insecta; Diptera; Tephritidae.
CAUUGUGUUUAUACAUAGCAUCCAUGUGAAUUAAAUACAGUUCAAAGGGCACACAUUUGUGAGAGAAUAUUAAACAUUAACAAAAGAGUUAAAAGUGCAAAUGCAAUAAAUAAUGAGUAUUAAUUAACAAUUUUCUUUACAUUUUUUUGUUUAUUUAACUCGCUUUCAUUUUGUGAUUCAUAUGUAACUUCGUGAAAACUUUUUUUGUGUGUUAACUUGUGGACAUAAUUACACGCAUACAUACUCAUGCAUUCAUUUUGAAUAAACGAAAAUCAAAACUAACUAAAAUCUAAUUAAAAUUUCUGACUCAUCUGCAACAAAUAUUGACAACUGCAAAAAAACGCGUACAUAAACGACACUGAAAACAUUUGAACUUGCACCACUGAAUUCGAUUUCGAAAAACCGGCUGCACCGCCAUUAUUUGCUGGAUACUCGCCCGUCUCACUCGUGGACCGCACCGUAUGAUAUGUGGCAUAAAAUUUGCUUCAUGCAUCUGCCAUCGCAUUAAAUUAUGGAUUUAGCAGAUCAAAUCGAUGAUUACAUUUGUUCAUUUGAAGGAAUUGGUGACUUAACAAUGGACUCAUUAGCAAUCUUCAUAUUUAUUUGGGCCGUAGUAGCCCUCUUCUUAGUAUGGCUGUGCAAAUUUUUAUACAACAAAUAUGUGGUGAAUAACAAUAAAACGCCGACUAGUCAGAGCAAUAGCCGGCAAAGCAGUGUGGCCCCCGGCGGAGCUACCACAACGAAAAUCGAAGCGAACAAGCGACUUUCCGAACCAAGAGAAGUGGUGGCGAGCAAAGCGGACUUUAAGGACUUAGCUGCCAAACCCGUUGGUGCACGUGGACGGACACCAGUUGGCGGCGCUGGUGGUGGUGGUGGUGGUGCUAUUGGACCGCGACGACGCAUGGUGCGACAGGGCUCCACUGGGCCAGAAAGCCGCAAGAAGCGCUAUGUGCCGCCGCCAUCCAAUGUUGUUGGACCCGAGACAGUCUCCGUUACUUGGACUAGCCAAGUAUUCCGUUGGCUUUACAGCGAUCUGGUGAUUGUGAACGAACUUUUAACCUCCUGGGUUAUAGCUUUAAAUGAUACGCUGAAGAAAUCUAUGGAAGAGCAUGGUGUCGCUGUAGAAGUAGUACGCGUGCUCCCCGACAGUCCACCACCUAGUUUGAAUAAUAUUUUUUGCAACUGUGAUGAAAAUAAUCCAUCGGAUAUGCUGAUCACUUUCGAUUGCGAAGCACAGCCGGUGUUGCAGGUGAAAACGUUCCGCCAAAAGGCCGGCAAAAUCGACACCUCCCACUACAAAGUAACCGUUUCACGUUUCCGUGGGCGCAUGGCCACUGCCAUGAACUAUAACAGCCUCAAAGGCGAAAUGAAAGUUGAUGGUUAUCCGGAUAUACGCGUUGCCUUGAAUAGUGUGGGGGCCAUCAAGCCAAUAGAUCAGGAUGAACAACAGCUGCAGAAUGUGAUAAGCGAGAUUAUCAGCGUCGCCUUGCGUGACACCCUGUAUCCGGUGGACUUCUCGAUAUAUGCGACUUGCCCACGCGCCGAAAUCGAUCCCUUGGAUAUGCCUCAAAACAAGGAGGGCUCUAACCUGUCCGGGCUACAACCCAUGAUUUCUGGUCGCCGCUUGCUCGUGAAAAUUGUCAAGGGUGAGGGUCUCGCCGACGCCAAGGAUCCCUAUGUGGUGGUGGAGAUGGACGAACCGGCACAAAAAAAUCAAACUGGUGUGCGUCAGGGCACUACGCCCUAUUGGGAUGAACAUUUCCUAUUCGAAUUGUCGCCACAUUCGGCCGAGAUCCUGUUCGAAGUGUACGAUCGUGCCGCAAACGAGGAACCGAGUAAAUUCCUCGGCUUGGGUUUAGUGGGCAUUGAUGAGUUGGCCGUUGGGCCUGCAUCCACACAAGUGCUGACACUGCAGCCGCGCCCUUACGAGACGCAUCCGGUGAGUGGCACCAUCACUGUGGACUUUGUGUUCAUUGAAGGUGCCGAAAUACCCGCUGGACCCAAGCCGUAUAAGCUAAAAGAGGCGCUGAAGAUUAGCACGCCCAUCAUUAACGAGCACAUGAAGAAUGGCGCCGACUUGGCCAAUGCUGCGGUACGUGCGCUGCAAGAUGGCGCGCUAUCCACAACGGGACAGCCCAGCAAGAGUACGCUAAUUAUACACAGUGUUCAACGGAACCAGAACAAUUCAAAUGCAUUUAAGGUUGAGGUUAACAAUGAGGGCAGAAUCGAAGUCAAGGAAUCGCCGCAAGAUGAGCUUGACACGGCUGCGUCCCAAGCUUUGGAAAGCCCAUUGAACGACAAUACAAGCGAAUCGUUGCCCACCGCCAAUACGACAGCGGACAUAGAGCAAAUCCAUCAGGAUAUCUCGGUGACGACAGACAUAACGGCAAGUCCCACAGACUCGUUUCCAGCAAAUGAUGGGUACCUGGAGGAGUCGGGGGUGGCAUCAGGUAACAGCAGUGCCUUUGUUGCAUCCAGAGCGGAGUUUGGACAACCGAAUGCCGCCUCCUCUCCGCAAGGCCACAACGGAUACUCACCACAUAAUGGCAACUCGACUACAAAUGGAUCCCAGAGUUAUGGAUAUCAGAGCAACAGUCUGCCACGCAAUGGCGGCGCCACCAGUACACCAUUGAGCGGUGCUGAUCUGGACGAACGAGGCCGGAGUAAGAAACGAAAUUUCUUUGGAACAUUAAAAAAACGUUUAAGUCGAUCCAAGACACGCACCCAUUCGGCUGAUCGUGGCGCUUUGACGCCGUCCCAAAAUAAUAACGGUACUACCCCAACAGGAACACUUAACGGUGAUUCACGUUCAUUAUCUGUCGAUCGUGCUGUAAUGUCUAAAAGCAAUUCACUUGGUCUACGCGCUGGCUCCUCACGACUUGAUCACUCAAGGCAAUCUUCAAUUUCAGAAUCGUCCGCAAUCUCAGGUUUCUCAUCGGCCAGCAACAAAACGUACGUACACGAGGCAUCCACACUGGUGCUGGAGACGAUUGAGAAUGGCGUUAAGCGGCAUUUUAUUGUACCGCUGGCAAUUGCACAACGACCCAGGUGGCGUCGCAAGGGCACUAAGCUGCACAUCUACAAUGACCACACCUUCAUCGCCAAGCAUUUGAGCGGUGGCGGCCUACAAUGUCAAGUCUGCAUGAAGUCCAUCCCGCGCCGCCCGGGCAAGCAGGGCUACGAGUGCCGGGACUGCAAUCUGAUCUGCCACAAACAGUGUCACAUACGCGCGCCGCAGGCGUGUCCCAAUCCUACAGUGCUUUCAAUGGAAUUGACCUCAUUUCCGGUACUCACAGAACAAGAUAUACUCUAGUCAAUCUUAUAGUUGAUUUUGAAAAACCUUUAAGUUUAGUUGUAAUCAAACCUUCAUUCGAAAAUAUUUCUACAUAUUUGGGUUAUAAGUUUUUACUUACAUGCGAAAUUUUUGUUAAAACUAAAUUUUUUAUUAUAAAAAUUCAUAGAAUGUGCUAUAUUCUUUCUGUCGAAUUAUAUAAGAAUGGGAAAUGGAAAUUCGCACAUUUCAAAUGUGACAUUUUUAAAAAGCUUAUGGCAUUUACGAAAUUGUUUUGAACGCUUUCAACACUUUCAUUGCUGCUUUCGUUCAGUUUGUUAGAACCCUUCUAAAUAUUUUGUUGUCUAUUUAGUUUUCUGUUACCGUUUCGACUUCUAUGCUUCAAAUCCAAUUAAAUUUUUUUUGAUAUAGAUUUAUAUUUUUUUUUCGCAACGCCAAAUGUAUUAUUCUAACAGAAUUCAUAUCAAGCAAAGGAUAGUACCUUAAAAGCUUUUUAAAAUUUUCAUAAAUCACUGCUUAGCUUUUUCGCAUUUAAUCUUACUGAUAACAAUUUUUCUCAAUCCCACUAAUAACACUAUGCACAUUUACUAUAUCCCCUUACCCCCAACACAGGAUGACGACUUUUAAAAGAAUAGAGAUUUCUAACACCAGCAAUUAAUUUUACGCUUCACUAAUCAUGCUACAAAAAGGUUUAAAACAAUUUUGUAAUUUUUCAAUGUUGAAAGCUUUUCACUCGUUAUUCUCGCGCAGUGGGAAAAAUACUACGGAUUAUAUCUGUACUUGUAUGUCUUAAGAACAAAAUCAUAAACAAAAAAAAAAAUAAAAUAUAAAAGAAAAUUAAAAAUCUAACGGUUUUUGAUACGAAAAGUUAUGGAUUUCGGUACCUUACUACCGGAUCGAAGCUUAACUCUGCCGCUGCUGAUCGCAGUAUACGAAAAUUGUGAAAGUGUUGCUAAUGGAAACAAACACAUGCACAGAGCAAUGCCAGUCACAGCACAUCGCGUACAGCGACAGCCAGCAAGAAAGUAGUACCGUAUGUGAAGGAAGCAACCCUGACUCGAACCUAUUAAAAGAAAGCUCUCAGCAAGUUAAUCAUUAUUUAUUGAAGCCGAGUUUUCCUUUUUCUGUUAUUGUUUUUUUACACAAUUUUUGUUGUUUUAAGAUAUUUCAAAUACUCGCACACGAAGCAACAGGCUCGAAAUUUAAAAGAUAUACAACGGCAUCAUCAAAAGUAAUCAAAUACUGCACACUCUUUGUUAGGUUUCUUCUUUAAAAAAUCACCAAUUUAUCAAGUUUUGUGUGUAAGCCAAUUUUUCGAAACGAUGACCAGCAUUUUAUUUUGUAUUAUAUAUAAUUGCAAUACUUAUUUUAGAUAAUAUUUAACGAUUUGGAUUUUUUAUAAUUGUUUUGUACGUAAUUUUGUAUCUUAAGUUUUAUAAGUUCUAUUUCAUUCACUGCAGUAUCACAGUCUACGUCACAAAAAAACAAAGUUUCCCCAAGUUUAAAACUAACCAAAAAAACAUAGGAAAAUAAUUUUAAAAAUCAAUCAAAAUCUUUUGUGUUAAAAAUGUAUGUAUGUCAUAAAAAGUAUUAGUUUUAAAUCUCUUCUACAAAAAUGAAACAGUGUAUCAAAUAAGAAAAAGCACAAAUAAAUGUUCAAAAUCCGUAUAAGAGAAA